CAGUUUGAUGCGCAAAGUAGUCCACUGUAAGUAAUAUUAUUUGACAAAUGUCCACAGAAAUUAAUAAUUUUCUAAUAUUAAAGACGAAUAUCUGAAUAGGAUUCAUUAUUUGAUAAGAAAUUAUAAUCAUCGACAUGUUUUUUUAAAAAUCGUACACGUGCUGACACCUAAGUUGUCUCCCGUUGUUUAUUAGAGUUACCUUUCGUCCGGCGCAGUAAUACAUUUGCAGUGAAUCGCCGAGAAGUCGUGGGAAAAUUAAAAACCAUGUAAACAAACUAAAAUUAACCACCUUUUCAAGAUGAAUUUCAAGUGAUCGACAUUAUACAUUUAACCCGCCUGACCUGUGUAGCAUCUUAGAUAUCUGUUCUAAGGUAUUCAUUGUGUAGAAUGUCAUGUUAUGCCCUUGCAAUGCUAAUCCCACUCUGUUUUUUUUGUUUACAUUUUUUAUCAAUGAGAAAUAUGGCGUCCAUCCCGAGAUGAACAGACGUGGCGUUAAAUUUUUACAUGUUUAAGCAAACCUGGUGUGUUAGAAAGAAAAUCUCAUCCCUUCAACAUUAUUUGGAAUACUGUUAUUGUAAAAAACCUGUAUUUUCCUUAUACAAAAGCUUAAUAUUUUGUGUUGAAUGUACUUUCACAAAGACCUCUGUUUUCCUAUUACAUUCAUAGUACCACAUCCUUAUCCACAAAAUACUGAAUAUUACAGGUGUCCAUCAGUAUUAUAUCAGUUUAGGAAUAUGUUUUUUAUUUUCCCACCAUCGAUUUCUUGAAUAUGCACCCCUUCCGCAUUGCUGUAUGAACUGUGAAUGUAGCAAUAUGCGUCCCCUUAAAUGCUUACCGUGCUCAAAUGUAGGUUUAUAUCAACAAAAGUUUUACCACUAUUACAAAACGCGGAUGACAGGUUAACAUAAUUUAAUUGAUAUCCUUUCAUGAUCCUUUAGGUGGUCGAUUUUAACUUUUGUUGAGUGUACACCAAUACUAUAAAAUACCUAAUUAACAACGGAAACGUGGCUUGCUCUAUGCACUAACAUAGAAUAUAUGCAUUUACAACAUUGCAUAACUUAUUUUUCAAGUCAAUGCAGUUACCAAGUGUAAACAGACGCUUCUGUGUAAUACAAUAUGCGCUUCGCCCCUAGCUCGCAGCAAACAGCUACAUGUGUAUACUUUUACCGUGAACCAUCUCGAAAUUUUCAAAACUUCAGUAAACUUCUGUUAUACAAUAGGAUACACAGAUGAAACGAAGAGAAACCAGAAUAAAGUAAUGAGAAUGAAUCCUAGUAUGUUGAUCAGAUAACUGACUACUUUUAAGACACACCAUGUCGCAAAAGCAAUGUUUCUAAAUUCUUUAUUUCCGGCGAGAACCGUUCCCAAAAACAAGUAUUAAAGUUUCAGUUAAUUCUAAAUCUAUUUUUCACUACAGCGUAUAGAGCGUUGGUGGCUGUCAAACAGACAAGGUGGAUGUCAGUACUGGAUAGAUCUCUUUAAAGAUAUGGAAAACGCUGGACUUCUCUCAACAAGUGACGAACUACACAUAGAAUGCGUGCGUUUGCUUAUUGACAUAAUACAGAAAGAGCUUGACCGAGUGCGAAUGGAAUGGAAUGGAAGCAACAUACAAUACGGAGAAAUGGACCUGAAGACUCCCCAAGCGGGAAACCAGACCUCAUGUACUAUAUGCCCGAGUUGUUUGGUGGUGUUGAUUACAAGGUUACGUUGAACCAGAGAGACCUUGAUCAAGUGUCAUCAGAAUUCUGUUAUACGGGGCCUAUACGGUGCAUAAGCGAAACAGAAGCACAGUUUGAACGGGAAAUGAGACGAAAACAUUUGCGCAUGCCAGUUACAGCUGAUAAAGCAAUAGAAGUAUAUGGUGCCUUAAAUCCCGCUGUUCAGAACCAAACAACAGAACAUCAUUGUACUACAUAAUCACCCAGCAUACACUCUAAGCCUAAUACAAUGACAUUUGCUUAAAUAUGGCAAAGAAGUUAAUAUUAGCAAACAAGCUACUUUCAAAAGCAAUAAAACGUUUGUUUGUUAUUUCGUUUGGCUGUCUGUGUCAUCUGUACAGUUAUAUGCUGCCAUACAAGGCUGGUAAAUUUGUUUUUGUUGUAUUAUAUCUUCGAAUGAAUGAUCUCGCAAUAAACAUGUACAUAAAUACAGACAAAUCCAUUCCACUCCGUUUCCUCAAUGAUGACAAAAUCGUGUUGGUCUAACGUUUCUUACCCGAGAAUCUUUAUGAAGUUCUAUUUAAAAAUUCCAAACCACUUCCUAGAUAUGGCUUCGGACUGAUGGAUGGAUGGACAACCCAAAAACUAUACCCCUCCACCUUUGCUGGGGGAUAAUCCACGAAUUCG
This is a long non-coding RNA of Mercenaria mercenaria, 2345 nucleotides long. RefSeq lists it as uncharacterized. NCBI's taxonomy places the organism in Eukaryota, Metazoa, Mollusca, Bivalvia, Venerida, Veneridae. The transcript is spliced from 3 exons. The record is from RefSeq and is a predicted model, not a curated record.